RNAcentral lists this ribosomal RNA (253 nucleotides) under uncultured bacterium. Its description in RNAcentral is "partial 16S ribosomal RNA". It matches the Rfam family "Bacterial small subunit ribosomal RNA", at positions 524 to 776 of the family's 1533-position model. The record is from RNAcentral.
UACGGAGGGGGCUAGCGUUGUUCGGAAUUAUUGGGCGUAAAGAGCUUGUAGGCGGUUUGUCGCGUCUGCUGUGAAAAUCCGGGGCUCAACCCCGGACUUGCAGUGGGUACGGGCAGACUAGAGUGUGGUAGGGGAGACUGGAAUUCCUGGUGUAGCGGUGAAAUGCGCAGAUAUCAGGAGGAACACCGAUGGCGAAGGCAGGUCUCUGGGCCACUACUGACGCUGAGAAGCGAAAGCAUGGGGAGCGAACAGG